Molecule: ribosomal RNA, 253 nt
Filed under: uncultured bacterium
Lineage: Bacteria
Description: partial 16S ribosomal RNA
Rfam family: Bacterial small subunit ribosomal RNA
Source: RNAcentral
GACGAACUGCCCAAACGUUGCUCGGAAUCAUUGGGCGUAAAGCGCACGUAGGCGGCCUCGCAAGUCUGAUGUGAAAUCCCUCGGCUCAACCGAGGACGUGCAUCGGAAACUGCGGGGCUUGAGUACUGAAGAGGAUCGCGGAAUUCCCGGUGUAGAGGUGAAAUUCGUAGAUAUCGGGAGGAACACCAGUGGCGAAGGCGGCGAUCUGGGCAGAUACUGACGCUGAGGUGCGAAAGCGUGGGGAGCAAACAGG